UCUUACGUAGUAUCACAAGCCUCCAAUUGACCUUUUGAAUUGAAAUGCAUCAUUCAGUCGAGGAUUUGAACACGAUUUUACAUUCGGAUUUUUAAGUCACAGGCUUACCAGGCUGUUGAGUAGAGAGAAAUGAACUUUUUAAUUUGGUGAAAAUUUGUGCACCUAGGCCGUCAUGCAGCUGGACAAUAGACCAGAACACAAGUCGCGCAGUUUCCUUUUUCCUUGGUAAUAAAAGCCGAAAAUACUGAUCAAAAAAGCUGCCAUUGAUUGGUGACUUUUCUCUUGUUGGUGACCUUCCUUGCAGGCGGGACAAUGAUAAGGAUAGACAGCACAAAAGGAUUAAGAAACGUUUGACGCUCCGAGUGAAUAAAUUGCGUCUUUUGGACGUCUGGAUAUUUCCGCCAAAGCCAAGACCUCUUUUGUGAUGUACUCUCUCUAAUAUUUUUCAGCCCAAACGAGUCAAAUGGUGCGAAAUACCUGUCGUCGUUUACUUCACGUCUGUUUGUGUUUGGUUCACUAAAUAAACUAAAUUGCUCAAUUUGCUUUAAAAAAGUGCU
This is a long non-coding RNA of Exaiptasia diaphana, 557 nucleotides long. RefSeq lists it as uncharacterized. Lineage: Eukaryota; Metazoa; Cnidaria; Anthozoa; Actiniaria; Aiptasiidae. The record is from RefSeq and is a predicted model, not a curated record. The transcript is spliced from 2 exons.